UUACGUGAAUUUACUAGGAUGC
RNAcentral lists this non-coding RNA (22 nucleotides) under Arabidopsis thaliana (thale cress). The record is from RNAcentral. Lineage: Eukaryota; Viridiplantae; Streptophyta; Magnoliopsida; Brassicales; Brassicaceae.